UGCCAUCGAACAAAACACACAAAAGAAAACUUUCGGUACAAAACUUCGUUGUCCUUAAUCCAUCAUCGCGUAAGCCAACUAACUUCCAUCAAUUCAAAUGAUCAUGGAUCUGAAAAGUUUAGCAUAACAUUCUUUGAGUAUAAGAAAAUACUCAGUAAGAUACCAUGCUUGAACAUUUAUCAUGAUAAUACUACACCAAAGAAAACAAUCAAACCCAUACUUCCAUAUUCCGACAUGCCGGUGCCCUUCGGACUUGUCCUAAGGCAUAGAUAUAUCUAACAUUUGUGGAUUUCUCCACCAUAAUCAUAACAUUUGUGGAUUUCUCCACCAUUAACAUACUUUGGUUUUUCAUGCAUAACUUAAGCAUAAAUAUUACCAUGAAAAUCAUACCACAUAAGCAUAGAAGGUAUCUUACCGUAAACUUGAUGAGCUUCGGUUGAGAUGUAAAUUAGAAGUGCUAGUCUUACUUCCUUCCCUUUCCUUUCUAAAUUUCGGUUUUUGCCCUCUUUUCAAAUGUAUAAAUGUUUUGUAGAAAUGAAGGAAAUUUCUUUCUCUAUGGCAUGGAUUAGGAUAUAUUUAUACUUGUAUAAAAGGAUAGGUAUACAAAGAUAUUUUUAUUUUUCUUUUACUUCUUGUGGCCGACUUUGACCCCCCUUCUCUUUUUUUUUUUUUUUUUUUUUUUUUUUUUUUUUUACUUUUUUUUUUUCUUACUUGUACACUUGUUUAAUCCAUGAUCCAAAUGUAUGGUGGUGAUGGAUAACAAGUGGAGCUAAUUAUAGGUAAUUAGUAGCCUAAAAACCUAUAUUUGCAAAGGAAAUCUCUAAUCUUCCAACUAAUAUAAUCCAACCCUCUAUCUUUCAUUAUUAGCACAUGUAUCCCAAAUCUAAACUUAUAUCCAACUUACAUAUCCAAAAAUUAUGGAUCGUAAAUUAAUUUAAUCAUUUGGUCAAUUGAAGUCCUAACAAAAUAAUCGACCACAUUCAAUUUCAUACUUGACUUAAGGUUCGACUAAUUAAUAAUCACUUCGUGUAAACACAACAUUUAACACCUCAUGCUUGUAGUCAUUAGCUACCUCUAACAUUAACUACUACAAAGGUGGUGUUCCAUUUUCAUAUGGCCAAAAAUAGUAUUGAAAGUUAAAUCGCCAUCUUAAAGAAAUUUAAACUAGCAUAAAUUUUCGGAGUAUUACA
This 1190-nucleotide long non-coding RNA is filed under the name Olea europaea (common olive). Its description in RNAcentral is "long non-coding RNA (OEUR_LNC010234)". Lineage: Eukaryota; Viridiplantae; Streptophyta; Magnoliopsida; Lamiales; Oleaceae. The record is from RNAcentral.